This is a non-coding RNA of Leptonychotes weddellii (Weddell seal), 901 nucleotides long. Lineage: Eukaryota; Metazoa; Chordata; Mammalia; Carnivora; Phocidae. The record is from RefSeq and is a predicted model, not a curated record.
UCGGCACACGACACCAACGCCCGCCCCGAGCAGCAGCGGCAGCCGCGGUUACAGCGCCGGUCGCGGUGGUGGCGGCAGCUGGGCCUCCGCGGAGCGGGGCUGCUGAGCAUGCGCAUGCGCCUCGCAUUUCAUCGCCCCCCCACCCCGCGUGCCCCCUCCGCGGGAGUGGAGCUGGGGCUUAAAUUACCCUCUGCGAAAAUCCCAGACCGUGGCUAAAUUUCUCCCACCCCAGUCGCCAGGACAGAGUAUGCAGCUGCUUCUUUGGCAGCUGAGAUAGUAAAAAUGUUGACUAACGAGCAGCAGGAAGCCUUUAUUUUAAAUUCGGUCAUUAAAGCGGGGGUUUAGGCUCUCACCCUUUACCGAGGUACACGUUCCUGGCUGCUGGCUACAAUAUUGCUUUACUGAUGGGCUUUGUUUUGGAUUGUUUUGGAUCUGAUUUUUGAAAAAGAGCUUCUAGACAACGGUUAUGUCUGUGGUAAAAGGAUGACAGACUUAGGUACUAGAAAAAGAAAGGAGAUAAGCCGGAGGGAGGCGGUGGGGGGGAUUAUUUCCUAAAUCUGUUACUGUUGGUCAGAUUAAAGCGUGGCCAUGGCAGGUAGCUGCUGGAAUGGAAUCGGCUGCCAGAGGGGAGUCGGUCGAAGGCUGGGUGUCUGCCCGGGCCAGUGACACACCACCCCUGGAUUCAGUCCGCCCGCUAAGGUGGGUGGGGAUGGAGGCGGGAGCAAAGGUGGAAGUAAACACCGCACUGCCACUCAUUUUCAGAACCUACAAUCCGCCUUAUUAUGCUGAUUAUCCAGAGGAAAAAUAUUGAGAUCCAGAUUAGCCAAAGUCAUGGAUUCAAGGUCAGUCUUGAAACUGAGCAGUGAAGAAAUCACAUCCCUUGUCCAAGGUUACAGAGCUG